Molecule: ribosomal RNA, 236 nt
Filed under: uncultured bacterium
Lineage: Bacteria
Description: partial 16S ribosomal RNA
Rfam family: Bacterial small subunit ribosomal RNA
Source: RNAcentral
UGAGCAAUCUGCCCAUCUCUUUGGAAUAAGCGUUGGAAACGACGUCUAAUGCCGAAUACGACCUCCUUUCGCAUGAUCGGAGGUGGAAAGCUCCGGCGGAGAAGGAUGAGCUCGCGGCCUAUCAGCUAGUUGGUGUGGGUAAUGGCCCACCAAGGCGACGACGGGUAGCCGGCCUGAGAGGGUGACCCGGCCACACGUGGGACUGAGACACGGCCCAGACCUCCGUACGGGAGCAG